UGGGGGAUUUUCCGCAAUGGGCGAAAGCCUGACGGAGCAAUGCCGCGUGGAGGUGGAAGGCCUACGGGUCGUCAACUUCUUUUCUCGGAGAAGAAACAAUGACGGUAUCUGAGGAAUAAGCAUCGGCUAACUCUGUGCCAG
RNAcentral lists this ribosomal RNA (141 nucleotides) under uncultured bacterium. RNAcentral describes it as "partial 16S rRNA". It matches the Rfam family "Bacterial small subunit ribosomal RNA", at positions 355 to 511 of the family's 1533-position model. The record is from RNAcentral.